RNAcentral lists this ribosomal RNA (440 nucleotides) under uncultured bacterium. Its description in RNAcentral is "bacterial SSU rRNA". It matches the Rfam family "Bacterial small subunit ribosomal RNA", at positions 338 to 769 of the family's 1533-position model. The record is from RNAcentral.
CCUACGGGUGGCAGCAGUGAGGAAUAUUGCGCAAUGGGCGAAAGCCUGACGCAGCGACGCCGCGUGGAGGAUGAAGGCCUUCGGGUCGUAAACUCCUGUCGAGGGGGACGAAAUGGUCUUCCGCUAAUAUCGGGAGGCCUUGACUGUACCCCUGGAGGAAGCCCCGGCUAACUCCGUGCCAGCAGCCGCGGUAAUACGGAGGGGGCCAGCGUUGCUCGGAAUCACUGGGCGUAAAGGGCUCGUAGGCGGUUUGAUAAGUCCUGUGUGAAAUCCCUUGGCUUAACCAAGGAAUUGCGCCGGAUACUGUCGAACUAGAGGCCGGGAGAGGGAAGCGGAAUUCCCAGUGUAGCGGUGAAAUGCGUAGAUAUUGGGAGGAACACCGGUGGCGAAGGCGGCUUCCUGGACCGGUUCUGACGCUGAGGAGCGAAAGCUAGGGUAGC